CUCAGAGGAUCUAGGGUUACUUCUCAUAAACUUCUCAAAUCCUCAGUCAUGGCGACGCAGAUGGGCAAGAAGAGGAAGUUCGUGGCUGAUGGGGUUUUCUUCGCGGAGUUGAUCGAGGUACUGACGAGGGAGCUUGCGGAUGAUGGGUACUCCGGUGUUGAGGUCCGCGUGACACCGAUGCGCACGGAGAUCAUCCGCGCCACCCGCACCCAGAACGUCCUCGGUUGUAAACAGGGUGCUUUGUGCCAUUGCUUAGGCAGAGUCUCUUCGGUACAAGCUUUUAGGUGGCCCAGCUGUUAGAAGGUAUUCUCGGUACUUUCUUCAAGUAGAGUAUUUGAAGAUGUUUGUGCAAGUGGUUUUUGCUAGUGGAGAAAUAUUGCUUUAGGUUAUUGUUAGUGGGAAGCUCAGGACACAGCGUGCAAAGUCAAUGAAGUUCAACGAUGGCUACAUGAUAUCUUCAGGCCAGCCAGUUAAGGAAUACAUUGAUUUUUCUGUGAGACAUGUUCUUCUCCGGCAGGUUUGCUACUAAGUCAAGAUCUUGAUCAUUUCACUUGCGGUUAGCUCUGCUUUUUCAGAUUCCUUUUGGCUAAACCUAUGACCCCAAGAAGCAAGGACCCACCUCAACCAGAUAUUGUAACUAUGCAUGCUCCCAAGGAUGAUGAAGAGUUCAUCCGACCACCAACCGGAACCCAGGAAAUUGAAGUUUAAUGCCACGCGUUGUGUUGAGCUGAAUCAGCUGAUGCAUACCCUAAUUUUUAAUGUAUUUUUCAUCUGUGGUUGUCCAUUUUUAGAUUAAUUCUCACUGAUGGUGUGUGACCGCCCAUGACUUGUGUCUAAAAAGAUUUUAGAGCGGCAGCCCAUCCACUAGAGCCAUGGAAGCUUUGAUUAUAAGAAAAGAAAUAUUUAUAUAUAAAUAUAUAGAUAAGCAA
Dioscorea cayenensis subsp. rotundata (Guinea yam) is the source of this 929-nucleotide RNA transcript. It is a transcript of the gene named 40S ribosomal protein S3-3-like, with no coding region annotated. The transcript is spliced from 4 exons. NCBI's taxonomy places the organism in Eukaryota, Viridiplantae, Streptophyta, Magnoliopsida, Dioscoreales, Dioscoreaceae. The record is from RefSeq and is a predicted model, not a curated record.